RNAcentral lists this small RNA (83 nucleotides) under Marmota monax (woodchuck). The record is from RNAcentral. Lineage: Eukaryota; Metazoa; Chordata; Mammalia; Rodentia; Sciuridae.
UCUGGGCAUGGUGGGGCAUGCCUGUAAUCCCAGCCACUUGGGAAGCUGAGGUAGGAGGAUCGCAAAUUCAAACCCAACCUCAG